AUUGAACGCUGGCGGCAUGCCUUACACAUGCAAGUCGAACGGUAACGAGCCUUCGGGUGCCGACGAGUGGCGAACGGGUGAGUAAUACAUCGGAACGUGCCCGAUCGUGGGGGAUAACGAGGCGAAAGCUUUGCUAAUACCGCAUACGAUCUACGGAUGAAAGCAGGGGACCGCAAGGCCUUGCGCGGACUGAGCGGCCGAUGGCAGAUUAGGUAGUUGGUGGGAUAAAAGCUUACCAAGCCGACGAUCUGUAGCUGGUCUGAGAGGAUGAUCAGCCACACUGGGACUGAGACACGGCCCAGACUCCUACGGGAGGCAGCAGUGGGGAAUUUUGGACAAUGGGCGCAAGCCUGAUCCAGCCAUGCCGCGUGCAGGAUGAAGGCCUUCGGGUUGUAAACUGCUUUUGUACGGAACGAAAAGCCUUCUUUUAAUACAGGAGGGUCAUGACGGUACCGUAAGAAUAAGCACCGGCUAACUACGUG
This 482-nucleotide ribosomal RNA is filed under the name uncultured bacterium. RNAcentral's name for it is "partial 16S ribosomal RNA". It matches the Rfam family "Bacterial small subunit ribosomal RNA", at positions 30 to 507 of the family's 1533-position model. The record is from RNAcentral.